Molecule: long non-coding RNA, 248 nt
Filed under: Hordeum vulgare
Lineage: Eukaryota; Viridiplantae; Streptophyta; Magnoliopsida; Poales; Poaceae
Description: long non-coding RNA (HVUL_LNC001003)
Source: RNAcentral
GCAAUAAUAUUGUGAUAUAUUAAGGAACCCAUAUUGACACAUGGAAAGCAACUUGCACCUCCAACUAGAAACGCUAUAAGAAAGGAUGAGCAAGCUGUAACAUAGCCAAACAAAGCUUUGAUAUCAUGUGGAGGGGGUUAGAGGCUUUUUAUGACAAUGUUGGAAGGCUUGACAUUUAAGUGGUAGGUAAUGAGACAUAACGAUAGAAUCGAGACAACUAGCAUAGCAAUCAUAGUAGUGGUUUCCAG